This 962-nucleotide ribosomal RNA is filed under the name uncultured bacterium. RNAcentral's name for it is "bacterial SSU rRNA". It matches the Rfam family "Bacterial small subunit ribosomal RNA", at positions 521 to 1482 of the family's 1533-position model. The record is from RNAcentral.
UAAGACGUAGGGGGCCAGCGUUGCUCGGAAUUACUGGGUGUAAAGGGUUCGUAGGCGGUGUGGCAAGUCGGGAGUGAAAUUUCUGGGCUUAACUCAGAGACUGCUUCCGAAACUGCUGUGCUGGAGUGUGGGAGAGGCGCGUGGAAUUGCAGGUGUAGCGGUGAAAUGCGUAGAUAUCUGCAGGAACACCCGUGGCGAAAGCGGCGCGCUGGACCACUACUGACGCUGAGGAACGAAAGCUAGGGGAGCAAACAGGAUUAGAUACCCUGGUAGUCCUAGCCCUAAACGAUCAGGACUUGGGGUGCCACCCGUUCGGGUGUCGUCCCGGAGCUAACGCGUUAAGUCCUGCACCUGGGGAGUACGGUCGCAAGACUGAAACUCAAAGGAAUUGACGGGGGCCCGCACAAGCGGUGGAACAUGUGGUUCAAUUCGACGCUACGCGAGGAACCUUACCUGGGCUCGAAAUGCUAGUGACCAGCUGUAGAAAUACGGCCUUCCCGCAAGGGACACUAGUAUAGGCGCUGCAUGGCUGUCGUCAGCUCGUGCCGUGAGGUGUUGGGUUAAGUCCCGCAACGAGCGCAACUCCUGCACACAGUUACUACUCGCAAGAGAGGACUCUGUGUGGACUGCUCCGGAUAACGGAGAGGAAGGUGGGGAUGACGUCAAGUCCGCAUGGCCUUUAUGUCCAGGGCUACACACGUGUUACAAUGCAGGGCACAAACCGUUGCCAACCCGCGAGGGGGAGCUAAUCGGAAAAAACUCUGCUCAGUUCGGAUUGCAGUCUGCAACUCGCCUGCAUGAAGCCGGAGUUGCUAGUAACCGUGGGUCAGCACACCACGGUGAAUACGUUCCCGGGUCUUGUACACACCGCCCGUCACACCACGAAAGUCGGCAACACCUGAAGCCGCUGGGCUAACCCUUUGGGGAGGCAGGCGUCGAGGGUGGGGUUGGUGAUUGGGGUG